AUUGAACGCUGGCGGCAGGCUUAACACAUGCAAGUCGAGCGGGGGAAGGUAGCUUGCUACCGGACCUAGCGGCGGACGGGUGAGUAAUGCUUAGGAAUCUGCCUAUUAGUGGGGGACAACAUCUCGAAAGGGAUGCUAAUACCGCGUACGUCCUACGGGAGAAAGCAGGGGGUCUUCGGACCUUGCGCUAAUAGAUGAGCCUAAGUCGGAUUAGCUAGUUGGUGGGGUAAAGGCCUACCAAGGCGGCGAUCUGUAGCGGGUCUGAGAGGAUGAUCCGCCACACUGGGACUGAGACACGGCCCAGACUCCUACGGGAGGCAGCAGUGGGGAAUAUUGGACAAUGGGGGGAACCCUGAUCCAGCCAUGCCGCGUGUGUGAAGAAGGCCUUAUGGUUGUAAAGCACUUUAAGCGAGGAGGAGGCUACUCUAGUUAAUACCUAGGGAUAGUGGACGUUACUCGCAGAAUAAGCACCGGCUAACUCUGUGCCAGCCGCCGCAGUAA
This 501-nucleotide ribosomal RNA is filed under the name uncultured bacterium. RNAcentral's name for it is "partial 16S ribosomal RNA". It matches the Rfam family "Bacterial small subunit ribosomal RNA", at positions 30 to 523 of the family's 1533-position model. The record is from RNAcentral.